AUCAAUUGGAGGGCAAGUCUGGUGCCAGCAGCCCGCGGUAAUUCCAGCUCCAAUAGCGUAUAUUAAAGUUGUUGCAGUUAAAAAGCUCGUAGUUGGAUUUCUGUUUUGAGCGUCCGGCCCGCUCUUUGAGUGUGUUGCUAGGAUGUUUGAGACAUUUUUUGUGAGGAUGUCCUUCUGCCAUUAAGUUGGUGGUUGGAUAGACUUGCAUCGUUUACUGUGAAAAAAUUAGAGUGUUUAAAGCAGGCGUUUGCUCAUUGAAUACAUUAGCAUGGAAUAAUAAGAUACGACCUUGGUGGUCUAUUUUGUUGGUUUGCACACCAGGGUAAUGAUUAAUAGGGACAGUUGGGGGUAUUCAUAUUCCAGCGUCAGAGGUGAAAUUCUUGGAUCGCUGGAAGAUGAGCUUAGGCGAAAGCAUUUACCAAGGAUGUUUUCAUUAAUCAAGAACGAAAGUUAGGGGAUCGAAGAUGAUUAGAUACCAUCGUAGUCUUAACCAUAAACUAUGCCGAC
RNAcentral lists this ribosomal RNA (507 nucleotides) under Pythium insidiosum. RNAcentral's name for it is "SSU rRNA". It matches the Rfam family "Eukaryotic small subunit ribosomal RNA", at positions 543 to 1046 of the family's 1831-position model. Lineage: Eukaryota; Oomycota; Peronosporomycetes; Pythiales; Pythiaceae. The record is from RNAcentral.